This 253-nucleotide ribosomal RNA is filed under the name uncultured bacterium. RNAcentral describes it as "partial 16S ribosomal RNA". It matches the Rfam family "Bacterial small subunit ribosomal RNA", at positions 524 to 776 of the family's 1533-position model. The record is from RNAcentral.
UACGUAGGGACCGAGCGUUGUCCGGAAUCAUUGGGCGUAAAGAGCGUGUAGGCGGCCUGUUAAGUCUUGCGUGAAAUCUCGGGGCUCAACCCCGAGCGGUCGUGAGAAACUGGCAGGCUAGAGUGCGGGAGAGGAGAGUGGAAUUCCUGGUGUAGCGGUGAAAUGCGCAGAUAUCAGGAAGAACACCCGUGGCGAAGGCGGCUCUCUGGGACGGUACUGACGCUGAGACGCGAAAGCGUGGGGAGCGAACAGG